UAUGGCAGAAUAGUGCAAUGGAUUUAAACCCCAUACAUAAAGUAAUUUUUUAUUAAAA
This 58-nucleotide transfer RNA is filed under the name Andrena biscutellata. RNAcentral describes it as "tRNA-Leu". Lineage: Eukaryota; Metazoa; Arthropoda; Insecta; Hymenoptera; Andrenidae. The record is from RNAcentral.